This 501-nucleotide ribosomal RNA is filed under the name uncultured bacterium. Its description in RNAcentral is "partial 16S ribosomal RNA". It matches the Rfam family "Bacterial small subunit ribosomal RNA", at positions 29 to 523 of the family's 1533-position model. The record is from RNAcentral.
AUUGAACGCUGGCGGCAUGCCUUACACAUGCAAGUCGAACGGCAGCACGGGUGCUUGCACCUGGUGGCGAGUGGCGAACGGGUGAGUAAUACAUCGGAACGUACCUGAUCGUGGGGGAUAACGCAGCGAAAGUUGCGCGAAUACCGCAUACGCCCGGAGGGGGAAAGCGGGGGACCGUAAGGCCUCGCGCGAUUAGAGCGGCCGAUGUCUGAUUAGCUUGUUGGUGAGGUAAAAGCUCACCAAGGCGAUGAUCAGUAGCUGGUCUGAGAGGACGAUCAGCCACACUGGGACUGAGACACGGCCCAGACUCCUACGGGAGGCAGCAGUGGGGAAUUUUGGACAAUGGGGGCAACCCUGAUCCAGCAAUGCCGCGUGAGUGAAGAAGGCUUUCGGGUUGUAAAGCUCUUUUGUCAGGGAAGAAACAGCAGCUCUAACACAGUCUGCGAAUGACGGUACCUGAAGAAUAAGCACCGGCUAACUACGUGCCAGCAGCCGCGGUAA